CCCACGGUGGCCAGGCACCUCGCCUCCGCCCUGGCUCCGGGAGGCCGGGCGCUGCCUCUGCCGCCUGCCGUGGUGAGGGCGGGGUCCAGUCACCUCCCGUGCGGGGCUGUGGGCGGAAGGAGAAACCGCACACUUUGUGGAAACCUGCUGGAAGAGGGCCAGAGCGCGUGAGAGCCACGGAUUCCGAGAGCGAGGGGCACCCCAUAGACAACUCUUCAGAGGAAAGGAAUAAAUGUGUCAAUGAGAAGUACUGCCGUGGUGAUGUACACCUGUAAUCCCUGCACUCAAGAGGCCGAGGCAGGAGGAUCGUAGAGCGUUCGAGGCCAGCCUCAGCUACCUAGUGUGUCCAAGGCCAGCCGGAACUAUAUAGCAAAGAUGAAAAUAAGUGCUAUGUAAGAAUUCCUUCAUCUUUCAGAUACUGUCAUUGCUAAAAAUUUUCGUACCAAAAAGGGAACUAAUGAAACUAAAUUAAUGAGAAGAAUCUUGAGUCACUGAUAUGUGUGUGUGUGUGUGUGUGUGUGUGUAGGGGUUUGGAUGUGUGUAUAUAAGUAUAUAUUAAAAGUGAGGUCAAUGGAAAAAAAAAAAGUUACCCAUCUAGGCAGGACUAACUGGUAGAAAACAGAAGCUAACAUUCUGUUUACAAGCCAGGCGUGGG
This 655-nucleotide long non-coding RNA is filed under the name Chinchilla lanigera (long-tailed chinchilla). RNAcentral's name for it is "lncRNA (ENSCLAG00000027825.1)". Lineage: Eukaryota; Metazoa; Chordata; Mammalia; Rodentia; Chinchillidae. The record is from RNAcentral.